CGAACGUAUCACUUAAAGCGAUUCAGCGGGUUACGAUUGACGGAGCGAAGCGACGUCAAAGCGUAUACAAAGUCGAGUCGGUUUAAGGAUACGUUCGUUGGGUAGGGGAGCGUUCUGUAAGCCUGCGAAGGUGGCCUGUGAGGGUUGCUGGAGGUAUCAGAAGUGCGAAUGCUGACAUAAGUAACGAUAAAGCGGGUGAAAAGCCCGCUCGCCGGAAGACCAAGGGUUCCUGUCCAACGUUAAUCGGGGCAGGGUGAGUCGACCCCUAAGGCGAGGCCGAAAGGCGUAGUCGAUGGGAAACGGGUUAAUAUUCCCGUACUUGGUGUUACUGCGAAGGGGGGACGGAGAAGGCUAUGUUGGCCGGGCGACGGUUGUCCCGGUUUAAGCGUGUAGGUGUGUGUUCCAGGUAAAUCCGGUUCACUUUAACACUGAGGCGUGAUGACGAGGCACUACGGUGCUGAAGCAACAAAUGCCCUGCUUCCAGGAAAAGCCUCUAAGCAUCAGGUAACAUCAAAUCGUACCCCAAACCGACACAGGUGGUCAGGUAGAGAAUACCAAGGCGCUUGAGAGAACUCGGGUGAAGGAACUAGGCAAAAUGGUGCCGUAACUUCGGGAGAAGGCACGCUGACACGUAGGUGAAGUGAUUUACUCAUGGAGCUGAAGUCAGUCGAAGAUACCAGCUGGCUGCAACUGUUUAUUAAAAACACAGCACUGUGCAAACACGAAAGUGGACGUAUACGGUGUGACGCCUGCCCGGUGCCGGAAGGUUAAUUGAUGGGGUCAGCGCAAGCGAAGCUCCUGAUCGAAGCCCCGGUAAACGGCGGCCGUAACUAUAACGGUCCUAAGGUAGCGAAAUUCCUUGUCGGGUAAGUUCCGACCUGCACGAAUGGCGUAAUGAUGGCCAGGCUGUCUCCACCCGAGACUCAGUGAAAUUGAACUCGCUGUGAAGAUGCAGUGUACCCGCGGCAAGACGGAAAGACCCCGUGAACCUUUACUAUAGCUUGACACUGAACAUUGAGCCUUGAUGUGUAGGAUAGGUGGGAGGCUUUGAAGUGUGGACGCCAGUCUGCAUGGAGCCGACCUUGAAAUACCACCCUUUAAUGUUUGAUGUUCUAACGUGGACCCGUAAUCCGGGUUGCGGACAGUGUCUGGUGGGUAGUUUGACUGGGGCGGUCUCCUCCUAAAGAGUAACGGAGGAGCACGAAGGUUGGCUAAUCCUGGUCGGACAUCAGGAGGUUAGUGCAAUGGCAUAAGCCAGCUUGACUGCGAGCGUGACGGCGCGAGCAGGUGCGAAAGCAGGUCAUAGUGAUCCGGUGGUUCUGAAUGGAAGGGCCAUCGCUCAACGGAUAAAAGGUACUCCGGGGAUAACAGGCUGAUACCGCCCAAGAGUUCAUAUCGACGGCGGUGUUUGGCACCUCGAUGUCGGCUCAUCACAUCCUGGGGCUGAAGUAGGUCCCAAGGGUAUGGCUGUUCGCCAUUUAAAGUGGUACGCGAGCUGGGUUUAGAACGUCGUGAGACAGUUCGGUCCCUAUCUGCCGUGGGCGCUGGAGAACUGAGGGGGGCUGCUCCUAGUACGAGAGGACCGGAGUGGACGCAUCACUGGUGUUCGGGUUGUCAUGCCAAUGGCACUGCCCGGUAGCUAAAUGCGGAAGAGAUAAGUGCUGAAAGCAUCUAAGCACGAAACUUGCCCCGA
RNAcentral lists this ribosomal RNA (1693 nucleotides) under Salmonella enterica subsp. enterica serovar Agona. RNAcentral's name for it is "partial 23S ribosomal RNA". It matches the Rfam family "Bacterial large subunit ribosomal RNA", at positions 1150 to 2802 of the family's 2925-position model. The record is from RNAcentral. Lineage: Bacteria; Pseudomonadati; Pseudomonadota; Gammaproteobacteria; Enterobacterales; Enterobacteriaceae.